This 587-nucleotide unclassified non-coding RNA is filed under the name Hevea brasiliensis (rubber tree). The record is from RNAcentral. Lineage: Eukaryota; Viridiplantae; Streptophyta; Magnoliopsida; Malpighiales; Euphorbiaceae.
GAGGAGCAUCUAGACCAUAUCCCAUUAAAAGAAUCACUGGAAUAAUUAGAAUUGCCGGAUAAAGAGACAAAUGAGUUGCCAUAACCCAUCCAAAAGCUGCUAGGGGAACUAGUCCUGUGGAACAUAAAAAGAACAAUAUUCAAUAAAAAAAAUGGGAGUUACAAAAGGGGAAAGCAGAGGAUGCACCCUCAUCCAUCCAUAAUCAACUGCAAGAAUUCCAAUUGGCAUUUUUACGGUUUUGUGAAAAAAAUCAUGGGGUGCUAAAAAAAGUAGAAUACCUUAUAUGAUAUCAAGCAAAUUACAGAACACUUCAUAUUUGCCAUCAUAAGAUGUUGAAGACAAAUCACUGGCAUCUCUUUAGGUUGAUUAGGAUGGAAAUAACAUAUUUAAGAGGCUGUAAUGAGUGUGAAAAUAUACUUAUGAUAUAAAUUAAAGUUGAAAAUUUUUCACCAAAAGUUGGAGGCAAAGCUCACUGUGAUUAUCCAAAAUACAAUCAAUUAAGGUCUCAAACACUAAACAAAGACUAUUCGCAACUUACGUGUACAGGCUCCAUAAAGCAUCAAUAUGAUGAACAAAUUUUCAAUUGG